Non-coding RNA from Podarcis lilfordi (Lilford's wall lizard), 74 nucleotides. The record is from the annotation of a GenBank genome assembly. Lineage: Eukaryota; Metazoa; Chordata; Lepidosauria; Squamata; Lacertidae.
GCCUGAAUAGCUCAGCUGGUUAGUGCGCGGUGCUGAUAACACCAAGGUUGCAGGUUCGAUUCCCAUAUGGGACA